RNAcentral lists this long non-coding RNA (19221 nucleotides) under Zea mays. Its description in RNAcentral is "long non-coding RNA (ZMAY_LNC000026)". The record is from RNAcentral. Lineage: Eukaryota; Viridiplantae; Streptophyta; Magnoliopsida; Poales; Poaceae.
GGUUGUUGCCAUGAUUAUAGAGGAUCCUGAACCAAAGUCCAUGGUAGAGUGCCAGAAGCGCUUAGAUUAGAUCAAAUGGAAAGAAGCAAAAGAGACAAAAUUGUGCUGCUUUCAAAGAGGCAAGUAUUUGGGCCUAUCGGUCGCAUGUCCCCUAGAAUUACCCUAGUCGGGUUCAAAUAGGUAUUCAUCUGAAAUAGGGAUGCAGACAAUGUGGUGGUGAGAUACAAAUCGAGGCUUGUAGCAUAAGGAUUCACGUAGAGACUCAACAUCCGUAUUGUCUCGAGGUUCAUGUCGGUGUGGGGCAAGUCUUCUUCAACAAUCUAUCUCCCAUCCAUCAUCGAAGAUGAAGGAAACAAUGACGCCUAAGAGGGGUGGGGUGAAUUAGGACUUCUAAAAACUAUCUCUCUAAACUAGACACAAAUAAAUCCCUAGAACAAACCCUAUGCAAAUAACUUAACUAGAUUGUGCAAACUAGGUUUUGUCUAUGUGUUGUUAUAUCUACCGCAAAAGGAGUCAUUCAACCUAAGUUCCAAUCCUAUAUGAUCUACACUAAGAAUAGUAAAGAUUACAACUUAAGUAGAGAGAGUAAAUGCGGAACAUUAAAGAACUAGUAGAGAAAGCAAACUCUCGUGGACGUCGCCGGUAUUUUUACCGAAGUAUCAGAACCACGCAAGGUCCCGACUAAUCCUCGUUGGUUCCCCUACACAAAGGGUAGCCCACACCAAGGCCAAGCACCAUGGUCGAGUAACUCCGUAGAGAAUCACAGAUCUCCACGUGCAAGUGGUGCUUCGCUUUUGGCUCCUCUCAGACGCUCCCCGUUGUCUCCACUAUCGAGCUUCCGGCUGAAAAGUCGCGGGCUUCGAUCCCCCUGGUACACAGUGGUGGCCAUGUCACAAACACAAUUAACACGGUCUCACAAGACUUUCACCCCACAAGGUACAAUAUUACAACGGCUCGCGCAAGAGUCGGGGGGUAUAUGAAAGGGAAAUGUGCACCUGUAGAACAUAAUUUCUAGAGCAAACUAGUUAGUCCAAUAAUUUGUGUUGGGCAAUUCAACCACCAAAAUUCAUAUUGGAAAAGGUUUGACCCUAUUUCCCUUUCAGGUAGAAAUUAAGGCCAAAGCAAAUGGAUCAGCCAAUCACUUGUGAAUUUUGAAAAUAGUAGAGUUAGAAUUUGUAUUUUGCCAAAAUGACUUCUAUUGCAAAAUGUGGACUCUUCGGAGGGAGAAAUUUGAUUACAAGAACAAGGGGGAGUUUUGGCACUUGUUCUAUUUCACUCUUGGAAAAUAUCUCUAUUUGCCCAAACAAGCGUGUUUGACUUAGAAAUAGGGAAAAGAAUUUGAUUUGCAAAAAACAAACCAAGUGGUGGCAAAGAGCGAUACAAAUAUGCCAAAUCUUAAGUACAAAGAAUUCGGUCUUCAUUUGCAUUGAUGUUGCACUUUUCUUGUUGCUUUUUAAUGUGUUGGCAUGAAUCACCAAAAAGGGGGAGAUUGAAAGGGAAAUGUGCCCUUGGGCCAUUUCUAUAAGUGUUUUGGUGAUUAGAUGCCCAACACAUAGUGAUUGAGAUCUUCUGAGUGAGAAGUGCAAAUCGAACAACAAGGUAUGUUUCUAGACUUAGUAAAUUGUUUUUGAAUACUAAUGUGUUUAUCUAAGUGCUAGAAACAGUGACAAGAAAAGGAGACUUGAAUUAGAGAAGAGUUGGCUGAGUAAAGCCAAAACUAGCUCGGGCCUGGCACACCGGACUGUCCGAUGGUGCACCAGACAGUGUCCGGUGCACCAGGCUAGUCGACGGUGAACUGGCUGCUCUCGGGAAAAUCACCGGGCGACUUUGUUAAAAAUCACCGGACUGUCCGGUGGAGCACCGGACUGUCCGGUGCGUCAUCAGCGCUCGCGCCCAAGUCUUCGGCGACGAACUCGUCGCUCUCGGGAAUUCACCGAGGACGCCACGGCUAUAAUUCACCGGACUGUCCGGUGGUGCACCGGACUAUCCGGUGAGUCAGAACCGUCCGAGCCAACGGUCAACAACGAAAUCUGCGGGCCGACACGUGGCCGAGCCAACGGUCGGUUGGGCACACUGGACUGUCCGGUGUGCACCGAACAGUGUCCGGUGCGCCAACGGGACCGCCGGCUCAACGGUCGGAUACACCAGAAAACGGAAGAGAUCGCGCACCGGACAACUACAGUACCUGUCCGGUGGUGCACCGGACUGUCCGGUGCACCACUCGACAGAAGGCAGGAAUUGCCUUCCAAGUUGAUCUUCAACGGCUCCUAGCUGCCUUGAGGCUAUAAAAGGGACCCCUAGGCGCAUGGAGCAAAAUACGAAGCAUUCUCUAAGCAUUCUAAGACUCCCAGACUGUAAGGCCCCAAAAUUUAUAUAAGAAAAAAUAAUAAAAUAAAUAUAUGAAGAAAUAAAAUAGCAAAUUCGGGUAUCUAAACUUAUACUUGAGCAAUGAAUGUGAGGAGUGAAUUUUGAAAACCAAGAACUAUUUUAGAAAAAGAGUAAAAGGAAUUUUUUUCUAAUCAACUAAAUAACUAUGCAUUUCAUGAAAUAAUGCACCAUAAGCAAUCACUUUCAUGAAUAUUUAAUUUUUAAGUAAUUUUAAAUUCAUGUCCCAUAAUGAAAAUACCAUUUUCCUAAAAAGAAAGGAACCUUAUGAGUGUGACCCAUAUUUCAAACAUUUAUCAAAUAAAUAAAUCAUUAAUAUAUAUAUAUAUAUAUAUAUUGCUCCAUAAUUGAUUGAGUAUGUAUUAAGUUUGAAUUAUUAAACUAUAUCCUAAAUUAGAAUUUGGAAUCUGAAUUUUGAAAGUCAAAAAGGAAAUAAAUGAGAAAUGAAGGAAACAAAAAUAAAACUAUACAAGAUAAAACAAAAUAUAUGGUUAAAUAAAAUAAUACCAUACUAGUAUGUUUAUUUUGUAAUUUUAAUUUGAGUGCAAGUUCACAUUUAAAUUUGAAUUCAAAAUUUGAAUCAAAAAGAUUAGAUAAGGAGAAUAGAAAAUAAAAAGAAAUAAGAAAAUAAAAAGAAAAGGGGGUGAAAGCUGCGUGGGCCAAGACCUAAAUUCGACCCACUCUACUCCCAAGCCUGCACAGCCCACCCCUCAUCUCCACUCCGCGGUGUCCCUGCCAUGUGGGCCGCGUCGCCAGUCUCCUGGCUCACGCGCGCGCUCACCAGGCCACUACCCGUGGGCCCCGUUCCGCAGAGCCACGCGCACUCUUGUCUCCCUGCAUGUGGGGCCACUCCAUCAGCACUAUCCCUAUCAACCCGCCGAUCUCUGCACGCGGCAAGAACGGAUCCCAGCCGUGUUUCUCGCCACCCGCGCGGACUCGGCUUUUCCCCUAGCUAGCCACUCUGCUCUUUCGCUCGCCCCUUCAUCAAUCACCGCUAGGUGGGCCCAUAACCCACGGGUCCCGAGUCCGUCUUCUCCACCGCGUGAUGCUCCGGUCGCAGCAGAUUCCGCGCGCGGACGAAGGAGACCCCUAUUCCGCCAGAGCUAGCGCAACUACCUACCCCUAUAUAAGCUAGUCGCGACCCUCUGCCACCUCCCUCACAUCGCCUGGGAAGUUGGGUGCGCCUCUCACCGAGCAGCGUAUAAUCCUCAUCGGUGCUAGCCAUGAGAAAUCGCUGAGAUCCGCCACCAUCAUCAACUGUGGCAUACGUCCUCAUUUUGGGCCCGAUUGACAGCACAAGGGUUACAUCGCGUCCCCUGGUGGGUGCACAUGGGAUCACCGGGCGCAAUCGGGGAUCGUUAAAGCUCAAAUUGCUCGUCGGAGUGUUUCCUCGCUUUGGAUCCGCCGCUGUGUCGUGGGUGGCAUCACUGGUGUGGCAAACUGUGGUAAGGACCCUUCCAAUCAACUCGCCUUCACCUUCUCCUCGUGUAACCACCUGUGUAGCAUGUUUUGGGGGCCUCGCGUGCGGGUUGGCCGGCUCCGACGAUGGUCCGUCGCGGGGGGCAAUGGCGUGUCGCCGUGGCUCGGUGGUGGGCUGGGAAAGGUCUUCGGACCGUUGGAUCUUACACCAACGGUCACGAUUAUGUUGUUUGCCUACCGCUUCGAGUAGUUGAUCUGGGCCGUCGGUUUGAUCGGGUGGCCAGGAGUGACCCAUGGUGUAAUUAAAUCAUGUCCGUCCGUGUGGGAUCGGAUGGCUACAGUUUCAUACCGCUUCACUUAAGAUCGGAUCUAAUCAGAGCCCUCGAUUCUGGAUCGUAUGGCUGAUGUCCUCUCGUACCCCUUCACCCAAGCCUUUUUGCACAUGAGCCCCUGAUUAAAGUAGGAAUUAACCCGCUGUCCACCCUAGGGUUGGGCUGAGUCUUAGGAAUUCUUGCGCAGACGUCCCUGGGUUCUCUGUGUAUUAUGCGCGCAGACCAGAGGCAGAGGAAUUAAUUUCAGAAAUGAUUUUAAUGUGAAAAUAAUUAUUAAAACAUGUUUAAUCCCUAGAAAAUUCAUACUAAGUCCAAAUUAGUCAAUUCCUGUUCCUAUAAUUUUAUAAUAUUAUUGUUUAUCUAAUAGUGCCACUGAUUUGACAUGGAAGCCACUUUAAAAUUUAUUUCCUAAUUAAACCCAUAUCAAAUAUAUAAAACCUUAGGAAAAUCAUAACUCAUUCGUUUUAACUCCGAGUUGAUCCGUUCAAGUUGCGUUAGUCUCGUAUGAAUAUUUACUAUGCAAUAACAACAUUUAUUAUACCAUAUAUCAUUAUUUUAUGAUUAGGUCUUUACUUAAAUUAUGUUGGUUAGUCUUGUUAAUGUGCUCAUCAUUAUCUACUAAAAUAUGAUCUAUGGUCAAUUUAUAAUUGAAAGCUCUCUUGUGGGUUUUGGUGUUUGGGAUGACAACCCAAUUAAAGGACUAACAAGUGUGUUAAGUGUUGAACAGGUGUUGAAUGCAAAGCUAACAGGGUUCAACUCAAGUAAACAGGUGUGAUGGUCCAAAGACGGAAUUAUCUAUAGAUAAUGGACAUCAUAGGAAAGGUGGACAAUGCUUAAGUGAGACUUGAUGUGCAUAACUUGGAAACAACUGAUCAAACCAAGGAUGGAAACAAGAAGAGCUUCGAGGUACUGAGUGCAUGGGAGAAAGUCAAGGAGACCAGUAACCCAAAGCCAGGGGUGAAGAAGGAGACUUGCGGAAUCAGGGUUGAUCGAGUUAAGAAGAGUUAUGGUGCAUCAAGGAACAUUACAUAAGGACAUGACUUACAACCAAUGAGGUAACAUCUACAAUUAUGUGGUGUAAGUCAUAAGGCUCAAGACCAAGCUCAAAAGGGAACAAGGUCACUGGAAGGAGAACAAAUGUCCAAAUCAGAACCGGAAGCAGCCCAAAAGAGCUAAGUGCACCUUGACCUUUAGUUUGGGUUGUUCCUAUGUUUGGAGAUAUUCUAUGUGACCUUUGCAGGAUGUUGGAGCUCAGAAAUGACAAUCUAGAUCAAGUCAAGCUGACUUGAUGAUUUAUGAGUCCAACAUCAAUCUCAGUCAUGCCAAAUGCUAAAGAAGUGAAAAUCAAAGAGAAGGUAUGUUUCUAGACUUAGUACAUUGGUUUUUGUGUACUAACGUAUUUGUCUAAGUGUUAGAAAUAGAAAUAAGAAGAAAAGAAGAGAAACUACAAAAGGAAAAAGACUUGGCUGGAGCAGCCAAGACUCUACGCAGUCUGGGUGCACCGGACAGUGUCCGGUGCGCCAGGCUGGCGUCUGGUCAACUGGCCGCUCUCGGGAAUUCGUCGACGGCAUUCGGCUAAAAAUCACCGGACUGUCCGGUGGUGCACCGGACUGUCCGGUGAGCCAACGGUCGGCCACGCCAACGGUCGGCCGCGCAAUCCGCGUGUGACGCGUGGACGAGCCAACGGUCUGAUGGGUGCACCGGACUGUCCGGUGGGCACCGGACAGUGUCCGGUGCGCCAACGGCUCCAAGUCUGCAACGGUCGACUGCGCGAAUUUAGGAAAGAGAUCCGCACCGGACAGUGAACAGUGGAUGUCCGGUGGUUCACCGGACUGUCCGGUGCGCCACUCGACUGAAGGCAAGAAUUGCCUUCCUGGAUUGCUUCCAACGGCUUCUAGGCCAUUUGGGCCUAUAAAAGGGACCUCUAGGCGCCUCAAACAGAACACAAGUGCAGCCAACAAGUGUAGACAUCACUCGGAUCAAUUCUCUCUCUCCUUCUUGUGUGAAUCUCUCUAGUUUGUGUAGAAGGCAAAGCUAUAAGCCUUUAGAGAGUGGAGAAGUGCUGCUACGAGCUAGAACAUAGUCUUGAGCAUAUCGUUACUCUGUCGGAGUGCUGCCAAGAAGAUUGUAAGCAGCCGCAGUUUCGUUGUAACCAACUCAACAUAGUGGAAGGCUCUAUCUGUCAUACUGACAGAUUUGAGCAAACGGAGGAAGGAGUUGAAAUAGACUCCAAGCCCAGGUGUGGCUAACUCCAACAAGGACUAGGCAAGCAUUUCAGGCUUGGCCAAACCUCGGGAUAAAUCCCUGUGUCUGUGUGCUUCGCUCUGUAUUGUGUGCUGUCUCUCUGUCUUAUUCACUUUUUAUAUCUACACUUCAACACUUAUCUGUGGUACAAGUUAUAUUUGAAGUGCAGGACAUUUUGAGACAGGAACUUCUAUUUCGCUGCAACCUACUCGAAGGGUCUUUCAUUCCACUGCGAUCUGGUCUUCGAGUAGAGUAAGAACUAAAGUUUUAAAGUGAUAAUUUUUAUUCGCCUAUUCACCCCCCUCUAGGCGACAUCCAGAUCCUGUUUCCGGGCAAAGGGAACUUUCAAUUGGUAUUGGAGCUAGGCCUCUCCAGUGUGGGCUUAGCCGUCCGGAGAUGAUGAUGUUGUCACAAGGGGUAACUGUAGAACUUCUUCUAGGCGAUGGCUCUAAUUAUAAAUCUUGGUCUGUCUCUAUUUAUAAUGCCUUCAUGCGUGUUGAUCCUGAUUUGAGACAGAUCUUUAGUAGAAGUAUUUUUCCCUCCAAUUUUAGUCAAAAACCUUCUAAUGAUGAACUAAGAUGUCUGUCUCUCAAUCACCAUGCUUGCAACAUCUUAGUUGACUCACUUUCUAGAAGUGCCUAUUUUGCAAUCAUGAGUAGUGAUAGUGAUUUAUAUGUUGAUGCUCAUGAUCUAUGGACCAAAAUUAAUUUAAAAUUUUUUAAGUCCAUAUGCACUGCUUCUGCUCCCUCUACUGCUGGUAGUACUUACUUGUCCAAGGGAGAAGAAUGAGAGAGAUGGACACCAAGCGAUGGAUCCACCUCACCGAUAGGUUCAUCUCCCACUUGUUAUACAUGUCGUAUUGCUAACGAUGAGAAUGGAGAUGAAAGCGAUCAUGAGGAGGAAUAUGAGGAUGAGGAGUCUACAUCAUCACAAGGUACAUUUUCCUAUUUUGCUUCCACUGACAAUAGUGACAGGGAAAAUGAGAUCGAUGAUGUAGAAGAAGAGGAGAUUCGCCGUUUCUACACCCAUCUCAACAAAGAAGACAAAGCGCUCUUGGUUAAGCUGUUGAGAAGGAACAAGGCGAGACGCUUCUCAGGCUAGAGGAGACUCUCAUCAAAACCAACGACAGCCUAGAGAAGAUGACCAAAGAACAUGAGGAGCUAAAGUGCUCUCAUGAUGAUUUGGUCCAACGGUAUGAUUCGAUUUUAAUUGAGCAAAGAAAUAAUGAUGAUGCUUUAUCCUGUGUUGCUCAACUUAAAAUGGAAAAUGCCAUGCUUGAGAGGCAAGUAGAAUUGCUAAGUCAUGAUAAACUUUAUCUUACUAAAAAUAUGAUUUUUUGUCUUGUUAUCAUGAUAAUCUCUUGGAUAGACAUAUCAUGCUUGAUGUUGCUCACAAGGUUGUAAUUGCAAACCUAAAUUCAUGUGAACCUCAUUUUUGCACACGUGCACAUCUAGAUAAUAUAUCAUCAUGUGCUAACCCCGGUUGCUCAAAAGAAAGCCAACUCUUGGAUGAGCAUCAAGCUGCAGGAUCAAAAGAAAAAGUGCUCAUCAAAGAAAGGAACAAGAGAACAAAGCAACUAAGGAGAAGACGCAUUGCUCAACCUUCUCAAGAUAUCCACGGGAGCGUGGUGAAGAAGCUUGAGAUGGGAAAAACUGCAGCAAGUGUUAAGCUCCAUAAGAAGGAUGUUCCUAAAGCAAAAAAUGAAGAAAUCAACAUGAACUUGGAAAAAGGUAAAGAUUCAAUUAGUCAUGUUGUUUGCACUGACCAUUUCUCUAUGUCAUCCAAGAACAAAAAGAGAAAAGGGAAAAGGAGGUGCUUUAAGUGCAAUAAGUCAGGACACCUCAUUGCGUUGUGUCCAUACAACGACAAGGAUGAAGGGAUAAGGAGAUGCUUCGGAUGCAAUGACAAGAACCAUACGAUCACUUCUUGUCCGCUAAUGACAAAUCAAGCACGUGCACUCUUCGGGAUAAACCCCACUAAGAAAGAAGACAAACAACAAGCGUCAUGUCAGGUUAAGCGACGCUUCUGCUAUAAGUGUGGUGAGCAGGGUCAUCUAUCCAAGGUAUGUAAAAAGGGUAAGGUUCCUAAGCAAGUAAAUAUAUCUCAAUCUUAUUCACUUAGGAGACCCAAACCAUACACUUGUGCUAGAUCAAUAAUGAGAUCACCUAGAACUAGCACAAUUGCUAUUUGGGUACCAAAAGCUCCUAUGGAUGAUCGUUAUGGACCCAUCCUGAGAUGGGUACCAAAUUGUACCAACUAGACCAUGCAGGUGCCUCGAGAUGAACUGGAGACCAUGGGAGAGCUUAAGAUGGUUAAUUCAAACUCUAUGCUUAAGUUGUCAAUUCUACUAUCUAUUUAUUGACCCAAGGUUGAAUUAUUGUGCAAUACUAAUCCCAUGUUCAUCUUGAGUAAAAUAAGUUGUAGAGGUCUUUGAUCAUUAUUGGUGAAUCAAGCAAAGGACCUUGAUGAGAAUAUGCAACGUGCUCUCCAAAGGACGGUACCCGUGUAUUAUAAGUACAUUAUUGCAAAUCAGUAUUGCUCUGAAGUUUGAUCUGUCCUCGGAGUAGUUAUUCUUUUGAGAUUGCUUGUGUUGAAUACUUUUUGAUCAUUGAUUCAUGAUUUCAAAGAUCACAUUGAUGCCUGUUUAAUCAUGAUUUUGUGUUAUAUCUCUUGAAUCAUUCAAUUAGUAGCUUAUCAUUUGAUAUAUUUACCAUGAUUAACUCUUUAUGUGUUCAUGGAUAAACCUGUAUCCUUUUGUAAGACAUGCUAUUGUCUUUAAUGAUUAACCUAUGUGCAAGCAUGACAUCUUGUUUAGUCCAUGUUCACAUGAUUACCCUAUUUUGGUACUAUGUGUAUACCAAAUCCAUGUUGUGCCUCUAAUGCACCUUCUUGAGCUAUGAAGUGCAUAAGCAAUAGGAGACCUAAAUUGGUGACAACGAGUGCUCUCAUGGCAAGGAAAAGGUAUGGAAAAUGGAACUAUGCAAUCUCAUUGAAAAUCUUGAAGUUCCAUUAAUUGUGAUCAUAGCUAUGUUCUCACCUUUGAAUUGGUAGUAUAUUGGCUUAGGUGCGCUCUCUUUAAAAUGUUGUUUCUAAUCGGUGUACCUAAGAAACCUUCUUAAUCAUGGUGUGCUUAGGCAUUGUAUGCAUGGUCUUGUAGUUUUCAAUUGGUAUAUGUGUUGCAAUGAUCAUCGUGUGUGAAGCGUGCCUAGGUUGCUUGUUAUAUUCCUUGAGGCAUGCAUUGUUUCCACUAGUCAUAAGUUGUAUUAUGUCAUCUAUCCAAUUGGUAUCUCUCUGUGAUGAAAUUGAUAGAUUAUGUCUAGACCAAGAUAUGUUGUGAUCCCCUCCAGUUCUGAGGAUGCUAGAAUGUGCAAAGUACAGGUCAUUCAAAUACUUGUUGCACAACUUUAGGGGGAGCACACAUAACUUGUGUCUUUUGAGACUAAUUGUUUCUUGAGUGAUCUUGUAUAGUCUCAAGGUGAAGAAGGGAAGAUGAGUAAUAAAUGAAGCAAUCAGGACUUGGGUACCUCUGUAAGUCAAGUAUUUGGUAUCUUAAGUUAUGAGAAAUUGCAUAUUUUUAGAUUGCUCGUGCUCUAUAAUAUUUAGUGAUACUAGAUGCUUAUCUUCAAAUAUCAUGGAGCUAUGACAGUAAUGAUCUUUCAAUUAGUAGCCUUGAUAGUAUGCUUAAGUUGAUAUCUCUUGGUAAUCACUAGAAUAUGAACUUCAUCUUGUGUUGCAAUACUAUAACUUGUUCUAAGUUUGGUGUCUUAGCAACAAGAAAAGGUUAGGAAAAAGGAUCAGGCACAAGUGUGGAGGAGCCUCCUAGAGAUUAAACUCUCAAGAUGGAAAGUACAUCACAACAUGGUUAAGGUACAAAAGGAAGUAUUGAUCUUUUGCUCAUAUGUAUCUUAAUUUUUCUCCAAUGCUUGUGGUGCAUAUGUUUAAUGAGUAAGGGGGAGUAUUGUUAGUGUGUUUGGCCUGCUUAAUACCCUGUUGUCCCUUGACAUCAUCCUAUACUCUUGCUUGAAUGUGGUUUUGGUGGUUGAUGUCAAAGGGGGAGAAUUUUGUGCAUUAAAGCUUAGGUUUCCUUGAGUUCCUUGGAUCUUAAGGAAGGAUGUGUUAGUUUGUGGUAUUGAUAAUUCUUAUCAUAUGCUUCUUGUUGUAUUAUAUGGUGAUGAUGCAAAACUAGUGCUUCCGCUGCUAUGAAUUAAUUGGCAUCUAUAGUAGUUAUCCUGUAAUAGAUAUUCAUGUGGGUAAUGGUGCGUGUGGUUAAUGGUGCUUUAAAAUUGCUUUAAAUUGAAUUGCUUUAAAUUGGUAUCUUAAUGGUGAAUAGUGGUAGGUUGAUAUUCCUGUGAUAUAUCCACUCAAUUGAUUGGUGUUUAACUCUGAUUCUGUGCAUUUGUAUGUUAUACGCAUCAUGGUUUGAUACUUGACACAAUGCAUCCCACAUGUGCUAAGGUAUAGUAAUGCUUUGAAUUAGCCUAAGUAUGUGCAAUUUGGCAUAAAGGGCCAAAUUUAAGAUUUUGAUGUAAGCACAUAUUCAGGGGGAGCAUCCUAUAAACUUAGAAUUCAAAAUUUGUGCUUUAAAUUUUAUUCUUAUGUAAGCUUUAAUUGUGUUGCCAUCAAUCACCAAAAAGGGGGAGAUUGAAAGCUCUCUUGUGGGUUUUGGUGUUUGGGAUGACAACCCAAUUAAAGGACUAACAAGUGUGUUAAGUGUUGAACAGGUGCUGAAUGCAAAGCUAACAGGGUUCAACUCAAGUAAAUAGGUGUGAUGGUCCAAAGACGGAAUUAUCUAUAGAUAAUGGACAUCAUAGGAAAGGUGGAUAAUGCUUAAGUGAGACUUGAUGUGCAUAACUUGGAGACAACUGAUCAAACCAAGGAUGAAAGCAAGAAGAGCUUCGAGGUACCGAGUGCACGGGAGAAAGUCAAGGAGACCAGGAACCCAAAGCCAGGGGUGAAGAAGGAGACUUGCGGAAUCAGGGUUGAUCGAGUUAAGAAGAGUUAUGGUGCAUCAAGGAACACUACAUAAGGACAUGACUUACAACCAAUGAGGUAACAUCUACAAUUAUGUGGUAUAAGUCAUAAGGCUCAAGACCAAGCUCAAAAGGGAACAAGGUCACUGGAAGGAGAACAAAUGUCCAAAUCAGAAUCGGAAGCAGCCCAAAAGAGCUAAGUGCACCUUGACCUUUAGUUUGGGUUGUUCCUAUGUUUGUAGAUAUUCUAUGUGACCUUUGCAGGAUGUUGGAGCUCAGAAAUGACAAUCUAGAUCAAGUCAAGCUGACUUGAUGAUUUAUGAGUCCAACAUCAAUCUCAGUCAUGCCAAAUGCUAAAGAAGUGAAAAUCAAAGAGAAGGCAUGUUUCUAGACUUAGUACAUUGGUUUUUGUGUACUAACAUAUUUGUCUAAGUGUUAGAAAUAGAAAGAAGAAGAAAAGAAGAGAAAAUACAAAAGGAAAAAGACUUGGCUGGAGCAGCCAAGACUCUACGCAGUCUGGGUGCACCGGACUGUCCGGUGGUGCACCGGACUGUCCGGUGGUGCAGGCUGGCGUCUGGUCAACUGGCCGCUCCCGGGAAUUCGUCGACAGCGUUCGGCUAAAAAUCACCGGACUGUCCGGUGGUGCACCGGACUGUCCGGUGAGCCAACGGUCGGCCGCGCCAAGGGUCGGCCGCGCAAUCCGUGCAUGACGCGUGGACGAGCCAACGGUCUGAUGGGUGCACCAGAGUGUCCGGUGUGCACCGGACAGUGUCCGGUGCGCCAACGGCUCCAAGUCUACAAUGAUCGACAGCGCCAAUUUAGGAAGGAGAUCCGCACCGGACAGUGAACAGUGGAUGUCCGGUGGUUCACCGGACUGUCCGGUGCACCACCCGACUGAAGGCAAGAAUUGCCUUCCUGGAUUGCUUCCAACGGCUCCUAGGCCACUUGGGCCUAUAAAAGGGACCUCUAGGCGCCUCAAACAGAACACAAGUGCAGCCAACAAGUGUAGACAUCACGCAGAUCAAUUCUCUCUCUCCCUCUUGUGUGAAUCUCUCUAGUUUGUGUAGAAGGCAAAGCUAUAAGCCUUUAGAGAGUGGAGAAGUGCUACUACGAGCUAGAACAUAGUCUUGAGCGUAUCGUUACUCUGCCGGAGUGCUGCCAAGAAGAUUGUAAGCAGCCGCGGUUUCGUUGUAACCAACUCAACAUAGUGGAAGGCUCUAUCUGUCAUACUGACAGAUCUGAGCAAACGGAGGAAGGAGUUGAAAUAGACUCCAAGCCGAGGUGUGGCUAACUCCAACGAGGACUAGGCAAGCAUUUCAGGCUUGGCCGAACCUCAGGAUAAAUCCCUGUGUCUGUGUGCUUCGCUCUGUAUUGUGUGCUGUCUCUCUAUCUUAUUCACUUUUUAUAUCUGCACUUCAACACUUAUCUGUGGUACAAGUUAUAUUUGAAGUGCAGGGCAUUUUGAGACAGGAACUUCUAUUCCGCUGCAACCUACUCGAAGGGUCUUUCAUUCCACUGCGAUCUGGUCUUCGAGUAGAGUAAGAACUAAAGUUUUAAAGUGAUAAUUUUUAUUCGCCUAUUCACCCCCCCUCUAGGCGACAUCCAGAUCCUAUUACCGGGCAAAGGGAACUUUCAAUAAUUUAGAUUAAAGUUGAAUUAAUUACUACCAUAGGUUAUCUUUUCUCUAGGAUUAUAAAAUAAACAUAGAACCUAGUUAAUCAUUUAAUCACAUUAUAACUUGAUGACGUAACUCUGAUUUUAGUGGUUCUCGUUCCCACGAUCUCGUAGCAACGCGUAGAUUAUUAUUAUGAAGUUUGUUCUUAUGUUUGGUGUGAUGUUAAUUUUGUCUAUAACAUGUUUGUUUGUAUUGCUACGACUAGCAGUGAGGUCACAAGGAUAUGAAGAAUCACCUUGGUAACUGGAAUCUCAAGUGCCAAGCAAGUUGUGCCCUUGAUCCACUUUUAUUACCCAAUAAUGUUGUUUAUUAUCACUAUUCAAUGCAUAGGUUUAAUUUUGAUGGGACCCAAUAGGUCGCCCUAGUCUGUUUAUCCUUUUACCUUAUUUAUCCCUGAAUCACUUGGGUAGUUGUGCUAUUGCUCUAUAUGGUUUUGGGAUAAUAUUUCAUUAUAUCCAUGUUCCUAUUAUUCUGUUAUGUUAUUUAUGUUCAUGAUAAGAUCAUUAUGUCAAUGGGAACAUGGAGAACCACCCGGGAAAACAGUGCUACCACAAGGGUUUAAUGGGACGCCCUUGGCUGAUUAACUAGGAAAGCUAGUGGAUGACUACCUUACCCGAAAGGGGCAAGGGCAGUGGUCAGUGUAGGGAGGUCCUUGGGUUGAUUUUGCUGCGAUGGCGAUCAGGCGAGGGAUUCCUGCACUGGAGCUUCCUAUAAACUGUAGCGGGUUUUCUGAAGCUAGUGGAACUUUGUAAAGGCCUCGUAGUGUUACCCUGCCUUGCUUCCUUGGUAGAGGUGUAUGGGAUUCAUGACCCCUUGGCAGAUGGGUAACACGGCUUGUGGGUAAAGAUGCGCAACCUCUGCAGAGUGUAAAACUGGUAUACUAGCCGUGCUCACGGUCAUGAGCGGCUUGGACACUCACAUGAUUAAUUUAUGGAACCUAAACUCAAUUUGUCAUUUCAUUGCAUUGGGAUUAUUUUGUUAUUACUUUUACUUAUUAUUCAUUAUGGUUUGGUAUUUACUUACACUUAGUAACUGCUAAUAAAAUUUUGACCAACUUAUAAAAGCAAUGCUCAGCUUCAACCUUUAUUUUGUUGAUCAGCCUUACACUUCACAUGAACUCCCACCUUUGGUGAGUUCAUGCCACAUUAUUCCCCACAACUUGUUGAGCGAUGAACAUGUGUGAGCUCACCCUUGCUGUCUCACACCCCCCACAGGUCAAAGACAGGUACCACAGGAUGAGGCGCAUGGAAGAUGCUGCGCUAUGUUCAUGAGAGGUCUAGGUCGUCGUCUCCCAGUUGACUUUCUGGCGCCAAGGAUGGAUUUUGGAUCCUGUUAUAUUUAUCUUUUAUUUUUAUAAGUCUUCCGCUAUGUAAUAAAUACUCUGAUUAUAUUGUGACAUUUAUCUCUAUACACUCUGUUAUUAUAUAUGUUGUCUUCUUUGGCGCAUGUAUGAGAUGCACCCGGCUUUGUCCCUUAAAGCCCGGGGUGUUACACAGACUCCGCCUCCACGCAUUUGAUCGAUUAUGUUAGUGAUUUGAGCUCCGUUUGAGUUGCGAACUCUCUAUGCUGUGUUUCGAGCUCAAGUCUUGGCUUGUGUGCGUGUGUGUUCUGCUGAUUUGGGUCUUGUGUGUGUUGCUCUCCCAUCCUUACUCUUGUGCUUUCUCUGUGAUCUAUAUUGUAAGGGCGAGAGGCUCCAACCUGUGGAGAUUCCUCGCAAACGGGAAGUAUACUCAAAAGAGAAAAGACCGUGGUAUUCAAGUUGAUCUUUGGAUCACUUGAAAGGGGUUGAGUGCAACCCUCAUCCAUUAGGACGUCACAACGUGGAAGUAGGCAAGUAUUACUUAGCUGAACUAUGGGAUAAAAAUCGCGUGUCUCUUGUGUCGCUUUUCUUGUUAUUGUUUGUUCAUAAGAGAUCGUCUCAUAGCCACUUGAUUAACUAGCGCUAACAUUUCUAUAUUCUAGUUUGUGGCUAUUUAGUGUUUGAUUUUACACGAUCACCUAUUUACCCCCCUCUAGGUGCUCUCAAUUGGUAUCAGAGCCGUACUCUUCACUUAAAGGUCUAACUGUCCAAAGAGAUGGAUCCUAAGGGUAAGGGGAUGGUGGUCAACGACAAGGAGAAGGAGUCCCUCUUCAACAAGCCAAGAGACGACAAGCCCACUGACUCAGGCUCGAGUCACAAGAAGAGGGACGAGAAGAAGAAGAGGCGCAUCAAGAAGAUCAUCUACUACGACAACGACGCCUCCUCUUCUUCACCAAGGGACGACGACGACGACAAUGACUCCUCGUCCAAGAAAAAGACAGUUAAUCAAAAUCAUUCUUUUGAUUAUUCUCGCAUUCCCUAUAAUUCAAAUGAGCAUUUACUAUGAAUUCCCCUUGGAAAACCUCUGUGGUAGCCCUCCCAAGUUAUCGGGCCCACGUGCACCAAUCCUUGCCUUGAUGGCCUCAGAUGGCUAUGCACGUGUACCAGGUAACUUAACAAGGCUAUCACGAGUUCAACAACUUGAACUCAUCAUCCUAAGGAUCUCCCACCAUACAUGCAUAUUACAGUAAUCACAUUCGAUACACACACACUUCGGAGAUAAGAGCGGAAGACUUUACAAAACAUUCUUUUUAUUUCUAAAACUGAAGGUUACUACAUAGAAAGAGUUACAUUUAUUACAAGUCCUGAUAUACUCAAAGUGCAUAACUUAUUACAAUAGCAGGAAGGUAGGAACCCUCCAAAGCCUAUACACAAGCCUAACUAAUCUUCCUCCAGAACUGGAAACGCCCUCCAGCCACAGGAACACCUAGAGUACUCCUCAUCACCUACAACAACAUGGGUUCAAAACCCUGAGUACGGAGUGUAUUUUCACAAGUCUUACCCGACUAAGGAAAAAGACUCUCAAGGAUAUGCUGGUUAAAUAGGAAUCAAGGAAAAGGCUUUAGCAAGAAUCAAAUUAGAUACUUUUGCAGAAAUAGCUUACUAAAGUGAGUCCUUACUUUCAAUAUUUUAAUGCCAAAUUAAAUAUUAAUAGACUCUAGUUGCAUCUAGUCAAAUUUCACCAUCUCAUCAAUACAACAUCAUUUUUAUUCAUAAUGUUUACAUCCUGACCUAGGUUGCAGGUCAGAGAUCAAGUCUCCACUCUCCGGGGAUAUAACGGCGAUCCGAAUCGAUUUACUCAGCUGAGGAUCUCUAACCACAUGACAUAUGUUUCUCGUAACUCUUGCAUAUGUCUACCAUUCCCACGGAUCCUCCACUGCAUGAACAGGUCCGCGCCACCUGAGAGCACACCACCCCUUUUAGGCGGUCCUUUGCCAGGAGGGUACGUGCCACUCUCGCCAUCUCUCCACUCCCAGUGCGCGAUUGUCUUUUCAUGUAUGGAAUAGCCGGGUUCAAGCUUACCCUGUCCCAUAUCCAGGGCAUGUGGCCAGUUAAGAUAGUCCUUGAUCAUACAGGCCUACAUACGCAUCCAAUCCUUAAUUAACCUGGGUGGAGCAUCACCUGUUCCUAGCCCAAGUCUCGAUUUAAGUACUUCCAUCCUUAGGAUUGUUUUGGGUUCCUUAGGAUGAAAAGAGCAUUAUAAGGAACUUUGCAGUAAGAUCCCACCAUACGCUCCCAAUGAAAAUAUUCUUGCAGGUAGAAGCCAUCCUUCCUCAGGAUAACCCCUGAGCUAGGCAUUAUUUCAAAAGACAACCUCUAUUCACAAGAUCUAAGCAGGGCUAAGCAUUUUUGUAAAUCAUAUUUUGAUACUCCAUCAGGAGUAUCUAUAAAGGCAUGGAUAUCAAGGUAGGCAAUGCAUCAAAUAGUUUCCAAGCAACUCCUAUAAACUUAAUGCACAUUUCACUAGACUUAAAGUGUAUAAAAGUCAUUUAAAAUACAAGGAAGGGGCAAAUGCACCGGGGCUUGCCUUAUUGCAGUGAAGAGGUUCUAGAUCUUCUACCCAAUAACCAGUUAGAUAGCUCCAUCCACUUGAUGAACAGGCACUGGAGAAAACUCCUCUUCCACGACCACUUCAUCUUUAAUUUACACUCCUUCUGCUGGGAGCUCUACAUGAAAUGAUAUGAACAUGAAUGCUUAUGCUUCUUGCAAAUAAAAUACUAUAAAACAUCACAAGACUUACACCUCUUUAAAUAGCACACAAAAACUAACAAAACCUUAAGAGAGCUAAAUACUCUAAUAUCACAACUCAAUCAUACUAGGGUAGCCAGCAAGGAUGAGGUGAUAUUCUUCAUUUACUCCAAUAUAGACACUAGUUUACUAAACCAGCCAUCACAGCUGCACUACACCCACAUACACAUGCAAAACACAGGGAGAGAGUGAUCUUCUUCAGUCAAUCAACCAGACACUGAAUCCACCUCUAAUACCCAAUUGUAUAUGUCCCUGUUCAGCCCCACUUUUUCCUUGUUUCUGCUAGGGACAGACCAUACCAAACCUGUUCACUAACUAAAGCUCUUCAAGUUUGUUACAAGAAUCUAAGACCCAAACUGCAUGUACUACAAGUUAAGGUGUCCAAAAUUCAGCCACCUUCCACUAAAUUUGUUUUUAGUUUUCUGAAACAGACAUCUCACACAGACUGACAGAAGAAAUUUCGGCACAUUUUACUCUAAAUUUUAUACAGCUCCAAACUUAUUUCUCUGUAAGAAACUUGUUCACCCAACACAUCUACAAAUCUCUUCUAUAAGGUCUUUAGCUUAUAACCAUACAUAUCAAGCGUUAGGGUGCAUUAAAGUUGAGCAAACACACGGAAAAUCCAUUUUCCCAAUCUGAAACAGCACAUUACUAGGUCUGACAGAGAGUUUUGUCACUCCUUUUUCUCCAAAUUCUACACAGUAGCAAGCCAACACUUUGCAUGAGACUUGCCCUCCUUUACAUGGUCUUUCACUUUGCUAUAGCAUUCUUACCCCAAUUCUUCUUGGAUUAAUUACCACAAGGACCCAAAUUUGAAUAAAAACACACAAAUUCAGACUUAAAUAUUAUUCUAAGUCUGAAUCCCAACUCUUGACAGUCCACCUUUUGGCCACUUUUACUCCCAAAUUUAUGUGGAACCAAGUCCACCUCACUUUAUAAAACUUGCUCUCUUUACUAUGGUCUCCAACUUUGCUAUGGAAACUUUAAUCCAAAACCCCAUGAAUCAGUCACUAAUGAACUCCAAACUAGGCAUCCUGUUGCAAUUCAGUUCUCAGAACUGAAUAACAAAAUUCAGUUAUGUACAGUCUGACGGUCCAACUUUAGCCAACCUUUUCUCUAAUUUUUACACAGCAACAGACCAAGCCCACAUUACCAAAAUUAUUCCUUAGAUAUAGCUCUACUAUUUUGGUAUAGCACCCUAGGUUGAAAACAUUCAGAACAAUUUUUAUGAAGCACCAAAGUAGAGCCAAAACCACUGCAACUCCAUUUUUAGUGUUCUGAAUCAGCAUUCAUUAAGUCUGAUAGAGAAGAUUUGGACAUGUUUUACUCCCAAUUUUGUGUAGCACCAAGCCCAUGUCCCUUUAGUAAUUUUGUUCAUCUUACUACGGUCUUCGAACUUGCUAUGGAACUUUGGCCCAAAACAAAAUAUACUGGGCACAAUAGAGCUCCAAAGUCGAGCUCAACACACUAAAACCUAGUUUCAGCCUUCUGCACUAAGUCUGUGAUCCAGAAACCUGAAAGCCUAUCUUUGAACAAAUUUUACACCUAGCUCCCAGCAACAGACAAUGGUAGAGUACAAGUAGUAAAUGGUGUGAGCUUCACUGACCUUUGCCGAGCAUGGAACAAGUAGUACACAACCAAGAAUACUUGUGGGAAACCUUGUCCACGGGGAGGUGAAGAACGGGUGGGUUUGGUCACCACAGACAAGAGGUUGGCAUUUAGCUCUGGGGUAAAGCAAACUUGGUGGCUGAGAAAGGUUUACACCUGCUGAACACAGGGAUUCCAAUCCUUUGUAGUGGUCUGAGGAUAGAGCUUGAGAAUUGGAGACAACCUUCACUGAACUAGGCCUUUUAAGGCUGCUGAACUGGGCAGAUGUCCCUGAACUGGACCAACAUGCUGUGGAGGGUUACUUCGCAAGUUGCCAGCAAUAUAGGAGCUAGCCAACGUGGCUUUCAUGCAUCCACUGCACCAAGUUCACAGCCCCCAAUUUAACACCGAAUCUAGUCAGCUAACACACAAAUAUCCCUUGUGGAUAUGCUCUAACAGCCCAAAAUAUCAACCUUAUUCAGUGAACACAGACAGGCAGGC